This is a non-coding RNA of Microscilla marina ATCC 23134, 46 nucleotides long. The record is from Rfam. NCBI's taxonomy places the organism in Bacteria, Pseudomonadati, Bacteroidota, Cytophagia, Cytophagales, Microscillaceae.
GAAAAGGCUGCUAUCGCAGCCACAAUCGUAAUUGUCAUAGUAGUGU